RNAcentral lists this ribosomal RNA (383 nucleotides) under uncultured eukaryote. RNAcentral's name for it is "SSU rRNA". It matches the Rfam family "Eukaryotic small subunit ribosomal RNA", at positions 587 to 972 of the family's 1831-position model. The record is from RNAcentral.
AGCUCUGUAAGCGUAUACCAAAGUUGUUGCAGUUAAAACGCUCGUAGUCGGAAGUUGGUAAUUCCGGGUGUGUGCGCGUCGUGCGCGCGCAUCGCAGGGAUUGCUUUUGUGGGCAUGCGUGGGAUGAGGCAACUUUAUUGUUGAACGUCCUUGCGCGACCACUCUUUACUGUGAGAAAAUCAGAGUGUUCAAAGCAGGCAAUUGCCGUGAAUGCAUUAGCAUGGAAUAAUAGAAUAGGACUUGGUUCUAUUUUGUUGGUUUGUGAGAGCCGAGUAAUGAUUAAGAGGGACAGUUGGGGGCAUUUGUAUUCCAUCGCUAGAGGUGAAAUUCUUAGAUUGAUGGAAGACAAACUGCUGCGAAAGCGUCUGCCAAGGAUGUUUUCA